This 253-nucleotide ribosomal RNA is filed under the name uncultured bacterium. RNAcentral's name for it is "partial 16S ribosomal RNA". It matches the Rfam family "Bacterial small subunit ribosomal RNA", at positions 524 to 776 of the family's 1533-position model. The record is from RNAcentral.
UACGUAGGGCGCAAGCGUUGUCCGGAAUUAUUGGGCGUAAAGAGCUCGUAGGCGGUUUGUCGCGUCUGUCGUGAAAGCUUGGGGCUUAACCCCAAGUCUGCGGUGGAUACGGGCAGACUAGAGGCAGGUAGGGGAGAACGUAAUUCCCGGUGUAGCGGUGAAAUGCGCAGAUAUCGGGAGGAACACCGGUGGCGAAGGCGGUUCUCUGGGCCUGUACUGACGCUGAGGAGCGAAAGCGUGGGGAGCGAACAGG